UGACGUGACUUCUUCUGAUUGGUC
RNAcentral lists this non-coding RNA (24 nucleotides) under Arabidopsis thaliana (thale cress). The record is from RNAcentral. Lineage: Eukaryota; Viridiplantae; Streptophyta; Magnoliopsida; Brassicales; Brassicaceae.